GGCGCGUGCCUAACACAUGCAAGUCGAGCGAGGAGAUUCCUUCGGGAUGAUCCGUAGCGGGCGACGGGUGAGUAACACGUGGGCAACCUGCCUCGUAGAGAGGAAUAGCCUUCCGAAAGGGAGAUUAAUACCCCAUAACAUUGCAGUUUCGCAUGGAACAGCAAUUAAAGGAGUAAUCCGCUAUGAGAUGGGCCCGCGGCGCAUUAGCUAGUUGGUGAGGUAACGGCUCACCAAGGCGACGAUGCGUAGCCGACCUGAGAGGGUGAUCGGCCACAUUGGGACUGAGACGCGGCCCAGACUCCUACGGGAGGCAGCAGUGGGGAAUAUUGCACAAUGGGGGAAACCCUGAUGCCAGCAACGCCGCGUGAGUGAUGACGGCCUUCGGGUUGUAAAGCUCUGUCUUCAGGGACGAUAAUGACGGUACCUGAGGAGGAAGCCACGGCUAACUACGUGCCAGCCGCCGC
RNAcentral lists this ribosomal RNA (464 nucleotides) under uncultured bacterium. RNAcentral describes it as "bacterial SSU rRNA". It matches the Rfam family "Bacterial small subunit ribosomal RNA", at positions 38 to 518 of the family's 1533-position model. The record is from RNAcentral.